This 476-nucleotide unclassified non-coding RNA is filed under the name plant metagenome. Its description in RNAcentral is "partial contains 5.8S ribosomal RNA, internal transcribed spacer 2, and large subunit ribosomal RNA". The record is from RNAcentral.
GGUAAAGGUUUGUAAUGAACCAAUGACGCCCAUGAUGAGGACGUAAAAGAGGGUUGGACUGAGCAUCGGGAUCGUCACGUUGAGAUACUUCCGAAUCCGCCCAGCACCGUCGAUGGUGGCCGCCUCAUAAAGAUCGCGGGGAAUGCCUUUCAGCCCCGCAAGUAGGAUGACCGUACUGGCGCCGAACACGCCCCAAAGUCCCAUGAUGAUGUACGAGGGCAACACUAAAUCACGGUCAAUGAACCAUGUUGGCGUCGGUUGGUUGAUCAGUCGGAAAAAUGGUCGGAAGAAAAAGUUGAUGAGACCAUCGGAGGCAAACAUCCACCGCCAGAGAAGCGCGGUCGCCGCGGCUGGUAAUACGGCUGGCAAGUAGUAGAUCGUCCGCCAGACGCCGACCCCGCGCACCUUUUGGUUGAGCAGAGUCGCGGUCAACAAUGCGCCAAUCAGGCCGAGAGGCACAUUGAACACUGAGUAAA